Molecule: transfer RNA, 58 nt
Filed under: Bacilli bacterium
Lineage: Bacteria; Bacillati; Bacillota; Bacilli
Description: tRNA-Asp
Rfam family: tRNA
About the family: Transfer RNA (tRNA) molecules are approximately 80 nucleotides in length. Their secondary structure includes four short double-helical elements and three loops (D, anti-codon, and T loops).
Source: RNAcentral
GGUGUAGUGGUUAUCACGUCUGCCUGUCACGCAGAAGAUCGCGAGUUCGAACCUCGUC